AUAAUUUAAAAAGACGAGAAGACCCUAUAGAGUUUUAUAGUUAAAAUAAUUAAUAUUAUUUGUUAAAUUAAGGUUGAGAUUAUUUUAUUUAUUGUAUUGGGGUGAUAAAAAAAUAUAUAUAACUUUUUUUAAAUAAAAACAUUUAUAAGUGAUUAAUUGAUCCAAUAUUAUUGAUUAUAAGAAAAAAUUACCUUAGGGAUAACAGCGUAAUUUUUUUUUUUAGUUCAUAUAAUAAAAAGAGUUUGCGACCUCGAUGUUGGAUUAAGAUAAAAUUUAAAUGCAGAAG
This 286-nucleotide ribosomal RNA is filed under the name Manga melanodonta. RNAcentral describes it as "partial 16S large subunit ribosomal RNA". The record is from RNAcentral. Lineage: Eukaryota; Metazoa; Arthropoda; Insecta; Lepidoptera; Noctuidae.